UNGGAAACUGGAUAACUUGAGUGCAGAAGAGGGUAGUGGAACNCCAUGUGUAGCGGUGGAAUGCGUAGAUAUAUGGAAGAACACCAGUGGCGAAGGCGGCUACCUGGUCUGCAACUGACGCUGAGACUCGAAAGCAUGGUAGCGAAUAGGAUUAGAUACCCUGGUAGUCCAUGCCGUAAACGAUGAGUGCUAGGUGUUAGAGGGUUUCCGCCCUUCAGUGCCGGAGCUAACGCAUUAAGCACUCCGCCUGGGGAGUACGACCGCAAGGUUGAAACUCAAAGGAAUUGACGGGGGCCCGCACAAGCGGUGGAGCAUGUGGUUUAAUUCGAAGCUACGCGAAGAACCUUACCAGGUCUUGACAUCUUGCGCCAACCCUAGAGAUAGGGCGUUUCCUUCGGGAACGCAAUGACAGGUGGUGCAUGGUCGUCGUCAGCUCGUGUCGUGAGAUGUNNNNNNANNNNNNNNCAACGAGCGCAACCCUUGUUACUAGUUGCCAGCAUUAAGUUGGGCACUCUAGUGAGACUGCCGGUGACAAACUGGAGGAAGGUGGGGACGACGUCAGAUCAUCAUGCCCCUUAUGACCUGGGCUACACACGUGCUACAAUGGACGGUACAACGAGUCGCGAACUCGCGAGGGCAAGCAAAUCUCUUAAAACCGUUCUCAGUUCGGACUGCAGGCUGCAACUCGCCUGCACGAAGUCGGAAUCGCUAGUAAUCGCGGAUCAGCAUGCCGCGGUGAAUACGUUCCCGGGC
This 753-nucleotide ribosomal RNA is filed under the name uncultured bacterium. RNAcentral describes it as "partial 16S ribosomal RNA". It matches the Rfam family "Bacterial small subunit ribosomal RNA", at positions 626 to 1379 of the family's 1533-position model. The record is from RNAcentral.